Molecule: long non-coding RNA, 1380 nt
Organism: Clupea harengus (Atlantic herring)
Lineage: Eukaryota; Metazoa; Chordata; Actinopteri; Clupeiformes; Clupeidae
Source: Ensembl
UUGUCGUUUAUUAGAAUGUAGAAUUUGAUAUCAUAAUUGGAGAAUUGCAGAAUUGUAUUACCAUAUUUAUUACUGGCAUUAUUUUUUUUCAUAUCAAUAUAAUCCACUGCGCCAACUCCCUGGCAGCACCGGUGAAAAGAGCAAGGUUACACAGGGGUGUUGCAUACUUCAUGUAAUUUCUGUCUAUAUUGCCAUGUGUUAUGAUAGUGAACGUUUCUAUAUAACCUGAACAGCUAUGACCUUUCAACAUCUGAUACUAAAACGUCCGCCCCUCAGAAAUGUAUUUAUUUAUACAUUUACGGUUUGUCUUUAUAUAAUAUAUUCAACCAUACUUCUAUUUCUUGUAAUAUUUUAUGAAAAUGCGACAUUAAUAUGAAUAGACAAAUACAUUAUUUCAUGCUAUACAGACGCAAAAUACUUCAACAGACACUAAUUAUAAGCCUUGAUCAUCUCUCUUUCUCUCUCUCUCUCUCUCAGAUCGUUUGCACAUCUGCCAAUACAUUUGGACAUUAAAUGAAAAAUAAUUCAUUUGACAGUGCUUAACAUGCAUAAAAGAGCCCUUUUUGUACACAGAGAAGGUUCUGUGCCAGUGAACACGUGUAGCUGAAGUGUCCAUUCAUGUGUAUGGAUGAGGAUGAUAGCAGAAGGGGAAGGCUGUCAAAACCAAUCGCACAUUGGCUGUAAAAUGGACUCUGGCCUGUUAUUUUUCACGUGUGCACACCUGCACUCUCUGCUUGGCACUGACUGAUCAGUAGCCGAGUGAGCCUGACUGAUGCACACAUGCGGCCAUCAACUCUCACUCUCACUCCCCUUUCCUUCUUCUUCAUUUCACUCAGCAGUUGUGGCUCUGAAUAGAGAACAGCCUUGUUUAGCUCCUGAGUCUGAAUGGUUGUGAAUCUAUUUCUCCAAUUUGGCUCAAAUGACCUAUGCCUGCGGGGACACCAGUGGACAAUGCUUAUGUAUAUAGAAAUGUGUGUGUGUGUGUGUGUGUGUGUGUGUGUGUGUGUUUGUUGGGUGUGUGAGUGAGUGAGUGAGUGAGUGAGUGUGAGUGAGUGAGUGAGUGAGUGAGAGAGACUGGCUUCAACAGUUGGACACUACUUUCCCACCUUAACCGCCUUGAGUCUUCUGCUCCUUAAAAAUACAAACAAAAAUAAAACAACCAAAAUAUUCAUAUACACCACAUGCUCAUUCUGUUUUUCCCCCUAUAGAUGGCUUUGAACUUGGAUCUGGGUUUGAAGAUAGAGGGCAGGGAUGCUGAAACAGCUGCAGUCACAAACUGGCAAUAAUCACACAUGCUGCUGUCAAACAUUUGGUUCUGCGGGUGUCCAUCUUCUUUAUCCUCCUCUUCCAGGAAAGAGACAUGGCAUCAGGAUAACUGCA